ACCUCCACCUACAUCCACACCUCCUCUUGGUUCCACCUCCAUCACUCUUCCACCAUCACUCUCUCCUCUUGAUCUCUCUGUGCUUUCAUUUGUUGGAUCAGUCUGUGUUGUGGCUCUACUGGUGUUACUGGUUCUGCUGGUGAGACAAUGUGUUCACAGGAAACCUGAAGCAGAUCAAGAAGAAAGUGAAGAAGACGACCUCAUCACUUAUGUCAUCAUUGAGAUAUCAGUUCAUCAAGAACAAUCUGACAAAGAAAGACGAGAUAUUUAUUUUGUAGUUGUGAUCUACUCAGCAGUGAGAAGUGAAGACGUCAGUUCUGGACAAACAACCAUCAGAACAAGCAGGCCCAGACUUUAAACCAGAGCCAGACGUCGUCUACUCUUCACUGAAGUAGUCCACCAGUCCAACCACUGACGUCCAGCUGCUGGUCUCUGGUCCACCCAGCAUCUCAAACCAGAGUAAAAAUUAUACAUAAAACACAUUUUUAUAUGUUUUAUGUCAUGUUUUAUGUAUUUUUUGUUGGAAUAUUCAAUAUUUUUUGAGGCUAAAUGAGUAAUGUGCAAAGGGCCUAUACACCAGUAAAGAUUAGUUAGUGAAAUCAUAAUUCAGCAUGUCUUCAGAAACAAACACAUUGUGGUGAUAAGUAUAACAAAGUUAGAAGAGAUGGUGCACAAAUCUGCAUCUGGUUAAAAGGAAAAAACACACAAACAUGAAAGAGUUUGCCAGAUUUGUGCUACAUGAAUUAGCUGGGAGUGGAAAUAUGGAUAUUUACAGUCUUGUGCAAUAAAGAAUAUGUGUGUUGUAUCACAAGACA
Long non-coding RNA from Maylandia zebra (zebra mbuna), 815 nucleotides. RefSeq annotates it as low affinity immunoglobulin gamma Fc region receptor III. Lineage: Eukaryota; Metazoa; Chordata; Actinopteri; Cichliformes; Cichlidae. The record is from RefSeq and is a predicted model, not a curated record.